RNAcentral lists this ribosomal RNA (1030 nucleotides) under Sus scrofa (pig). RNAcentral's name for it is "16S ribosomal RNA". The stretch from base 160 to 1013 matches the Rfam family "Bacterial large subunit ribosomal RNA", at positions 568 to 2044 of the family's 2925-position model. Lineage: Eukaryota; Metazoa; Chordata; Mammalia; Artiodactyla; Suidae. The record is from RNAcentral.
ACCAAAGCUAGCUCAACAUAUUAAACAAAUACAAAAAUACACCAAAAUAAAAUAAAACAUUCACCUAACAUUAAAGUAUAGGAGAUAGAAAUUUUUAUCCUGACGCUAUAGAGAUAGUACCGUAAGGGAAAGAUGAAAGAAUAAAAUAAAAGUAAAAAAAAGCAAAGAUUACCCCUUCUACCUUUUGCAUAAUGGUUUAACCAGAAAAAAUCUAACAAAGAGAACUUUAGCUAGAUACCCCGAAACCAGACGAGCUACCUAUGAGCAGUUUAAAAGAACCAACUCAUCUAUGUGGCAAAAUAGUGAGAAGACUUGUAGGUAGAGGUGAAAAGCCUAACGAGCCUGGUGAUAGCUGGUUGUCCGAGAAAGAAUUUUAGUUCAACCUUAAAAAUACCCCAAAAACCCUAAAUUCCAAUGUAUUUUUAAGAGAUAGUCUAAAAAGGUACAGCUUUUUAGAAACGGAUACAACCUUGACUAGAGAGUAAAAUCUUAAUACUACCAUAGUAGGCCUAAAAGCAGCCAUCAAUUGAGAAAGCGUUAAAGCUCAACAAAUUCACCAACAUAAUCCCAAAAACUAAUAACAAACUCCUAGCCCAAUACCGGACUAAUCUAUUGAAACAUAGAAGCAAUAAUGUUAAUAUGAGUAACAAGAAGCCUUUCUCCUCGCACACGCUUACAUCAGUAACUAAUAAUAUACUGAUAAUUAACAAUCAAUAAACCAAAACAACACUAAAGCGUUUAUUAAUUAUAUUGUUAACCCAACACAGGAGUGCACCAAGGAAAGAUUAAAAGAAGUAAAAGGAACUCGGCAAACACAAACCCCGCCUGUUUACCAAAAACAUCACCUCUAGCAUUACUAGUAUUAGAGGCAAUGCCUGCCCAGUGACACCAGUUUAACGGCCGCGGUAUUCUGACCGUGCAAAGGUAGCAUAAUCACUUGUUCUCCAAAUAAGGACUUGUAUGAGUGGCCACACGAGGGUUUUACUGUCUCUUACUUCCAAUCAGUGAAAUUGACCUUCCCGUGAAGAGG